Molecule: long non-coding RNA, 613 nt
Filed under: Equus caballus (horse)
Lineage: Eukaryota; Metazoa; Chordata; Mammalia; Perissodactyla; Equidae
Description: lncRNA (ENSECAG00000055618.1)
Source: RNAcentral
CCUUUUCUUAUCCAGCACCACAGUUUGGUGGAUAAAAGUUCUUGAGGCUGGGAAGUCCAAGAUCAAGGCGGCAGCAGAUCUGGAAUCUGACCAAGAUGAAUUCUACUUCUCAGACCCUCAAGCUCUCAAGGAUAAUGUCACUACAAGAUAUACUGAAGCUCACAGCUGAAAAUCAUCAUAGAACACUGCAGCGAGAAUCCAAUCAGCUUUAGGUAGAGGACAACACUGUGAGGACUGAAACGCAGCACGGAAGGUUGAAAAAGCCACGAAGCCUUGGAAUUAGACCUGGAUUGGAAGCCUCACUCUUUCACCCAGUGUCUACUCCCAUCUUAAAGAUUUUUUUGUUUGUUUCAAACUCUACCCAAAUCUUUGAUACCUUAAAAUCUUGUUCAUUGUGCUGGAUGCUGCUACUCCAACACUGAUUCAUGAACACCUGUGUCAAGUUCUGUCUGUUCCUCCUGACAUGGGCAGGAAUCUGUUUGGCAUCCCUCUGAAUUUGUGAUGCUUUUGAUCACUUUCCAUCCAAGUGUAGAGCUUAGAUAAAGAAGUAUAGAAACCCUGAGAAAUUGGCAGAGAUGAUCACUCCAUAUGUAAACACCAUUAGAGAGAAAGG